GGAUAACCUACCCUUAGGACCGGGAUAACCUUGGGAAACUGAGGAUAAUACUGGAUAGGCAAUUAUUCCUGUAAUGGUUUUUUGUUUAAAUGUUUUUUCGCCUAAGGAUGGGUCUGCGGCCGAUUAGGUAGUUGGUUAGGUAAUGGCUUACCAAGCCUUUGAUCGGUACGGGUUGUGAGAGCAAGAGCCCGGAGAUGGAACCUGAGACAAGGUUCCAGGCCCUACGGGGUGCAGCAGGCGCGAAACCUCCGCAAUGUGAGAAAUCGCGACGGGGGGAUCCAAGUGCCAUUCUUAACGGGAUGGCUUUUCUUUAGUGUAAAAAGCUUUUGGAAUAAGAGCUGGGCAAGACCGGUGCCAGCCGCCGCGGUAACACCGGCAGCUCUAGUGGUAGCAAUUUUUAUUGGGCCUAAAGCGUCCGUAGCCGGUUUAAUAAGUCUCUGGUGAAAUCCUGUAGCUUAACUGUGGGAAUUGCUGGAGAUACUAUUAGACUUGAGACCGGGAGAGGUUAGAGGUACUCCCAGGGUAGAGGUGAAAUUCUGUAAUCCUGGGAGGACCGCCUGUUGCGAAGGCGUCUAACUGGAACGGUUCUGACGGUGAGGGACGAAAGUUAGGGGCGCGAACCGGAUUAGAUACCCGGGUAGUCCUAACUGUAAACGAUGCGGACUUGGUGUUGGGGUGGCUUUGAGCUGCUUCAGUGCCGAAGGGAAGCUGUUAAGUCCGCCGCCUGGGAAGUACGGUCGCAAGACUGAAACUUAA
This 756-nucleotide ribosomal RNA is filed under the name uncultured archaeon. RNAcentral describes it as "bacterial SSU rRNA". It matches the Rfam family "Archaeal small subunit ribosomal RNA", at positions 102 to 859 of the family's 1478-position model. The record is from RNAcentral.